Molecule: ribosomal RNA, 196 nt
Filed under: Anaerolineales bacterium
Lineage: Bacteria; Bacillati; Chloroflexota; Anaerolineae; Anaerolineales
Description: partial 23S ribosomal RNA
Rfam family: Bacterial large subunit ribosomal RNA
Source: RNAcentral
CAGGAGCAUCGCUGGGUAGCCAUGUCUGGCAGAGAUAACCGCUGAAAGCAUCUAAGUGGGAAACUCGCCCUAAGAUUAGAUCCCUGUGACCCGUAAGGGUGUAAGACCCCAGAUAGACUAUCUGGUUGAUAGGCAGUAUGUGUAAGCACAGUAAUGUGUUAAGCUAAGCUGUACUAAUGGUCGAGGGCUUCCUUUA